Molecule: ribosomal RNA, 468 nt
Filed under: uncultured bacterium
Lineage: Bacteria
Description: partial 16S ribosomal RNA
Rfam family: Bacterial small subunit ribosomal RNA
Source: RNAcentral
GAUGAACGCUGGCGGCGUGCUUAAUACAUGCAAGUCGAACGGACAGGCCCUGCUCUUGUGGGGUUCUCGAUUGCCGCACGGGUGAGUAACACGCGUGUAACCUCCCCUUGACUUUGUGAUAACUUCAGGAAACUCCGGCUCAUACCGCAUAGGAGCUCCUGCUCCAUGUUGUGCGUUGGAAAGUUUCGGCGGUUGGGGCUGGACUCGCGGCUUAUCAGCUUGUUUGUGGAGUAGUGGCUUACCAAGGCUUUGACGGGUAGCCGGCCUGAGAGGGGUACCGGCGACAAUGGGACUGAGAGAGGGAGCAGACGGCUACGGGAGGCAGCAGGGGGGAAUAUUGCAGAGCGGGGGGGAGCCUGAGACAGCGACCCCCGGUGCGGAAUGCCGGCCUACGAGUGGUGAACCGCUGUCUCCGGUAACGAAGCGUGAGUGACGGUAAUGAGUAAAGAAGCACCGGCUAACUACGUG